ACAUUAAAUGACUGAAAG
RNAcentral lists this transfer RNA (18 nucleotides) under Cheilosia orthotricha. RNAcentral's name for it is "partial tRNA-Lys". The record is from RNAcentral. Lineage: Eukaryota; Metazoa; Arthropoda; Insecta; Diptera; Syrphidae. RNAcentral also lists the same sequence under 3 other names.